CUCGGGAUCCCCCGGGAGGAGCUGGACGAAGUGGCUGGGGAGAGGGAAGUCUGGGCUUCCCUGCUUAGGCUGCUGCCCCCACGACCCGACCUUGGAUAAGCGGAAGAAGAUGGAUGGAUGGAUGGAAUAUUCCGGAUUACCCAGAAUUCCAGGUUUUCCGGGUCAUGUUGCCCUUUGACAGUGAAUGGACAAAAUACAAACCUCUCCAUAUCCCACAUUUCUCACCCAAUUUGAACCGUUCCACCAUCCACACACUCCACUCACCUUGGACAAGAUAAAAAAAAAUCUGGGAAUUCCCAGAAUUCCAGGUUUUCCAAAGCCCAAUUUUCACGUCUUGCCAGUUUUCCCGAAAUUCCAGGAACUCCAAAGUACCCAUGCUCAAUUCAAACUGUUACUCAACAUUUCUCAACCGAUUCAAAAAAUUCCAACACCUACCUAUUCAUAUCAUCUCAGACAAUUGUGCCAGUAAUAAUAUUUUCCACAUUUCCCGGUUUGCCCGAAAUUUCCAGGAAAUUCCCAUUCAAAUGAAUGGACAUAUUCAUAGUUCUACAAUGGCCUAAAUACUCAAAAUUGUGCACCAUUUUUAAACCUGAUUCCGACCUUUCAACCAUCCACACACACUACUCUUCACAUAUAUCGAACGCAAAACAUAUUUUCCCUUUCCCAAAAUUCCUUGUUUUCCCAGAAUUUCCUGUAAUUUUCUUCCCAUUGACAAUUAUACAAACCUCUAUAUCCCACAUUUCUCAUCCGAUUAGAACCGUUCCAGCUUCCACACACUCCACUCACCCUGGGCAAUCAAGCAUUUCAGUUCCACUCACAUGUAUCUGCGGUUUGGCGGAAGUGCACACUGUAGGAAAAUGAAACACUGUACUUUAAUCUAGUCAUUCUUUGGCGUACCACUUGAUGGAGCCGACGUAGCACAGUUUGAGAACCACUGGUCUAAACUUUCCAAGAAACACUGGGCUUAUUCAAACCCUGCGUGACCUUUUUAAAUGCGGUUCUCAGUCCUAUGAAGAGGCAGCCUUGAAUCAAUAAGUGCGUCCAACAUUUAUAUGUCACUCACUCGGAACUAACGUCUGUAUCCUUGUCACCGCAGGACUCACCAAGAGCGGCAAGCGGGUCAAGUCCAAGGAUGCUGGGGGGAGAGUGAAAUCUCCCGUGUUGAUGUCUUUCGCAACUUUUUUCUCCUCGCAUCUCUCCAGCCCGAGGAACUGAGGAGGAGGAGCGUCUAGUUCAGUCGCCGCCAGGAUCCUGAGGAACACUCUUAGCUCUUGUUGACAGUGUCAGAUGGACAUCAUGACUGUGACUAUUGUCUGUGACUAGAUAUUGACUAUUAUUACCAUCAACAAGCAUCCCUUUUUAAAGGCCAACUGAAAUGAUUUUUUUUUAUUUAAACGGGGAUAGCAGAUCCAUUCUAUGUGUCAUACUUGAUCAUUUCGCGAUAUUGCCAUAUUUUUGCUGAAAGGAUUUAGUAGAGAACAUCGACGAUUAAGGUCGCAACUUUUGGUCGCUGAUAAAAAAAGCCUUGCCUGUACCGGAAGUAGCGUGACGUCACAGGUUGAAAGGCUCCUCACAUUUCCCCAUUGUUUACAAUGCAGCGAGAGCGAUUCGGACCGAGAAGGCGAUGAUUACCCCAUUAAUUUGAGCGAGGAUGAAAGAUUUGUGGAUGAGGAACGUGAGAGUGAAGGACUAGAGUGUAGUGCAGGACGUAUCUUUUUUCGCUCUGACCGUAACUUAGGUACAAGGGUUCAUUGGAUUCCACACUUUCUCCUUUUUCUAUUGUGGAUCACGGAUUGGUAUUUUAAACCACCUCGGAUACUAUAUCCUCUUGAAAAUGAGAGUCGAGAACGCAAAAUGGACAUUCACAGUGACUUUUAUCUCCACGACAAUACAUCGGCGAAGCUCUUUAGCUACGGAGCUAACGUGAUAGCACAUCGGGCUUAAAUGCAGAUAGAAACAAAAGAAAUAAACCCCUGACUGGAAGGAUAGACAGAAAAUCAACAAUACUAUUAAACCAUGGACAUGUAAAUACACGGUUAAUGCUUUCCAGGCUGGCGAAGCUUUACAAUGCUGUUGCUAACGACGCCAUUGAAGCUAACUUAGCAACGGGACCUCUACAGAGCUAUGCUAAAAACAAUAGCUAUCCACAUACGCCAGCCCUCAUCUGCUCAUCAACACCCGUGCUCACCUGCGUUCCAUCGAUGGACGGAGCGACGAUCAUAGAUGCGAUCGGCGGCCCGGAGACGGAGGAAGUCAAGGUGAGGUCGGCGGCUAGCGCGUCUGCUAUCCAUCUCAAAGUCCUCCUGGUUGUGUUGCUGCAGCCAGCCGCUAAUACACCGUUCCCACCUACAGCUUUCUUCUUUGCAGUCUUCAUUGUUCAUUAAACAAAUUGCAAAAGAUUCACCAACACAGAUGUCCAGAAUACUGUGGAAGUUUGAGAUGAAAACAGAGCUUUUUGUAUUGGAUUCAAUGGUGUACCAAUACUUUCGGUUCAACGAUUGACAUCACCCGCAUACGUCAUCAUACAUAGACGUUUUCAACCGGAAGUUUAGCUGGAAAUUUAAAAUUGCACUUUAUAAGUUAACCCGGCCGUAUUGGCAUGUGUUGCAAUGUUAAGAUUUCAUCAUUGAUAUAUAAACUAUCAGACUGCGUGGUCGGUAGUAGUGGGUUUCAGUAGGCCUUUAAUGAUUCCCCUAUAACGCCACAUUUUUACUUUUGUUCACACAUUGUGAAUU
Long non-coding RNA from Entelurus aequoreus (snake pipefish), 2735 nucleotides. RefSeq lists it as uncharacterized. The record is from RefSeq and is a predicted model, not a curated record. Lineage: Eukaryota; Metazoa; Chordata; Actinopteri; Syngnathiformes; Syngnathidae. The transcript has 2 exons.